UCGAGGGGCAGCAGUACUUUUCGGAGUAGCUGGCGACCGGCGCACGGGUGCGUAACGCGUAUGCAAUCUACCCACAGCACAGGGAUAGCCCGUGGAAACAUGGAUUAAUACCUGAUAACACAGGGAGCUCACCUGAGCACCUUGUUAAAGUUUUGGCGGCAGUGGAUGAGCAUGCGUCCCAUUAGCUAGUUGGUAAGGUAACAGCUUACCAAGGCGAUGAUGGGUAGGGGUUCUGAGAGGAUGAUCCCCCACACUGGUACUGAGAUACGGACCAGACUCCUACGGGAGGCAGCAGUAGGGAAUAUUGGUCAAUGGACGCAAGUCUGAACCAGCCAUGCCGCGUGCAGGAAGACGGCCUUCUGGGUUGUAAACUGCUUUUUUCAGGGAAGAAAACACUCUUGCGAGAGGGAUUGCCGGUACCUGAGGAAUAAGCACCGGCUAACUCCGUGCCAGCAGCCGCGGUAAUACGGAGGGUGCAAGCGUUGUCCGGAUUUAUUGGGUUUAAAGGGUGCGUAGGCGGCCCGUUAAGUCAGUGGUGAAAGGUAUCAGCUUAACUGAUGAAGUGCCAUUGAAACUAACGGGCUUGAGUACAGACGAGGUAGGCGGAAUUUAU
This 613-nucleotide ribosomal RNA is filed under the name uncultured bacterium. RNAcentral describes it as "bacterial SSU rRNA". It matches the Rfam family "Bacterial small subunit ribosomal RNA", at positions 62 to 671 of the family's 1533-position model. The record is from RNAcentral.